GCCAAAUGUGAUGAUACACACAUGUAAUCCCCAGUUCUUCCUGAGAGGUUGAGGCUGGUGGAUUGCUUGAGCUCAGGAGUUCUGAGUUGCAGUGGGCUAAUAUGAUGGGGUAUUCACACUAAGUCUGGAACCAAUAUACUGAGGCCUUAGGAGCUGCCUAAGGAGGGGUGAAUCAGCUCAGGUCAGAAACACAAUAGGUCAAAACUCAUUUGAUUGUCAGUAGUGAGAUUGGACCUAUAAGUGACCACUGCAUUUCCAGCCUGUGUGAAAAGGAGAACCCGUCUCAA
This 287-nucleotide signal recognition particle RNA is filed under the name Vombatus ursinus (common wombat). Its description in RNAcentral is "Metazoan signal recognition particle RNA (ENSVURG00010014217.1)". It matches the Rfam family "Metazoan signal recognition particle RNA". Rfam says of the family: The signal recognition particle (SRP) is a universally conserved ribonucleoprotein. Lineage: Eukaryota; Metazoa; Chordata; Mammalia; Diprotodontia; Vombatidae. The record is from Rfam by way of RNAcentral.